UGAGUACUCCCUUCGUUUGAAAAUACUUGUCAUUGAAAUGGAUGUAUCUAGAUGUAUUUUAGUUUAUACAUCCAUUUUCAUCCAUUUUGAUGAUGACAAGUAAUUCCGGACGGAGGGAGUACGUG
This is a non-coding RNA of Triticum aestivum (bread wheat), 125 nucleotides long. The record is from Rfam. Lineage: Eukaryota; Viridiplantae; Streptophyta; Magnoliopsida; Poales; Poaceae.